Molecule: ribosomal RNA, 468 nt
Filed under: uncultured bacterium
Lineage: Bacteria
Description: partial 16S ribosomal RNA
Rfam family: Bacterial small subunit ribosomal RNA
Source: RNAcentral
GACGAACGCUGGCGGCGUGCUUAACACAUGCAAGUCGAACGGAAAGGCCCUGCUUUUGUGGGGUGCUCGAGUGGCGAACGGGUGAGUAACACGUGAGUAACCUGCCCUUGACUUUGGGAUAACUUCAGGAAACUGGGGCUAAUACCGGAUAGGAGCUCCUGCUGCAUGGUGAGGGUUGGAAAGUUUCGGCGGUUGGGGAUGGACUCGCGGCUUAUCAGCUUGUUGGUGGGGUAGUGGCUUACCAAGGCUUUGACGGGUAGCCGGCCUGAGAGGGUGACCGGCCACAUGGGGACUGAGAUACGGCCAAGACUCCUACGGGAGGCAGCAGUGGGGAAUAUGGCACAAGGGGCGGAAGCCGGAUGCAGAAACGCCGCGUGCGGGAUGACGGCCUUCGGGUGGUAAACCGCUUUCGCCUGUGACGAAGCGUGAGUGACGGUAAUUGGUAAAGAAGCACCGGCUAACUACGUG